CAGCUCUGUCAAACGCUGCUGCUGGGUGGAGCUCCCUGAAGACAGAGAGUGAACCCUUGGUUUUCGCCAUGUAGAGGUCUGCUGUGCUGAGACUCAUGGCAAACCCCAGGAGCCACCUAUGAUGUGCCAGACACAUAAGCCCCUCCCUCACAGGCGUGGGUGCAGCCGGGGCCGACCGCAUUCCAAGGAGCAUUUCCUCUGAAAGCCAGGCCAAGUGCCCGCUCUCCAGCGAUUUUGGUCUAGGCAACAUCAGAUGAAAACGAACACUAAGGGCAAUCCUGAAGAACCAAAAGAAACUGGCAAUGGACAGGUAUAAAAGUGUGUGUGCGCGUACCUGUGUGUGCGCGCGCAUCUGUGUGUGUGCGCGCACCUGUGUGCUUGCACCUGUGUGUGUGCGCGUACCUGUGUGUGCCCGUGUGUGCGCGCACCUGUGUGUGUGUGUGCACGUGCUGACAUUCAAGGCAACAGCAGGGCUUCUUUACUACUAAUCAACCUUUUUCUUCUCUGUUGGCCAUGCACUUCCGUAUGGCUCAGCAAACGUGCAAAGGAAGGAAUAGUGGGAGUUGGAG
This 569-nucleotide long non-coding RNA is filed under the name Homo sapiens (human). RNAcentral's name for it is "HSALNT0101209". The record is from RNAcentral. Lineage: Eukaryota; Metazoa; Chordata; Mammalia; Primates; Hominidae.